GAUGAACGCUGGCGGCGUGCCUAAUACAUGCAAGUCGAGCGAACGGACGAGAAGCUUGCUUCUCUGAUGUUAGCGGCGGACGGGUGAGUAACACGUGGAUAACCUACCUAUAAGACUGGGAUAACUUCGGGAAACCGGAGCUAAUACCGGAUAAUAUUUUGAACCGCAUGGUUCAAAAGUGAAAGACGGUCUUGCUGUCACUUAUAGAUGGAUCCGCGCUGCAUUAGCUAGUUGGUAAGGUAACGGCUUACCAAGGCAACGAUGCAUAGCCGACCUGAGAGGGGGCACGCCCCCAUGGACAUGGCCACGGGCCCCACACCCCCGGGGGGGGCCGAUGUGGGAAUUUUCCCGAAGGGGGCGAACCCCUACCGGGCCAAGCCCGGGUGGGUAAAGAGGUUUUCGGGUCUGAAAACCUUUUUUUUGGGGAAAAACAAUAUGGUAAGUUACUUGGCCACACUGGGACGGCCCUAAACAAAAAACCCCGCUGAAUCCCCG
RNAcentral lists this ribosomal RNA (495 nucleotides) under uncultured bacterium. RNAcentral describes it as "partial 16S ribosomal RNA". It matches the Rfam family "Bacterial small subunit ribosomal RNA", at positions 28 to 507 of the family's 1533-position model. The record is from RNAcentral.